UUGACCUUUUUCUCAUUUCUCUAGUCUCCUACAAAAUCUCUAUAUAAUGCCAGACGUUGGAGCCAUCCAGACUCAGAACUACCUGGGCCACCAGUAGUAAACCUCAGAGUGUCAUGGUUUCAGGGAUAAAGAUUCAAAGGAUUUUCAAAAGCCAUUUUCAGUGAGUAUUCACUUAUUUCAGAGUAUCUCAGGAUGUCUGAUUAACUGCUAUAAGAGAUCAAGACUCGGAAGGAAGAUUCCUGGGCAUCAGCCCUUCUCUGGAGCAAAGUCUCUUAUACUGGGGGUCAUGGCUGUGGCUACCUUUAUGCUCAAUGCAACUCCCUAGGUUAAGAUGACUAUGUUGCUUUUGGUUGAUAUUAUUUCUACUUUCUUCUGGCUUCUUUUAAAGAAGCUUUAAGCUUUUCUUAAAGAUUGGUAGGCCAGUAGAAGAUAAUUGGACUUGUCACUAAAAAAAAAAAAA
Molecule: non-coding RNA, 460 nt
Organism: Vicugna pacos (alpaca)
Lineage: Eukaryota; Metazoa; Chordata; Mammalia; Artiodactyla; Camelidae
Source: RefSeq, a predicted model, not a curated record